This is a long non-coding RNA of Patella vulgata (common limpet), 372 nucleotides long. RefSeq lists it as uncharacterized. NCBI's taxonomy places the organism in Eukaryota, Metazoa, Mollusca, Gastropoda, Patellidae. The transcript is spliced from 3 exons. The record is from RefSeq and is a predicted model, not a curated record.
AGAAAUUUUGGGAUGAUAUAUUUAAUAUGAGUAAAACUAUGGGUAUGAAGAUGAUGAUACAGGAUGAUUUGAUAGAUCAGAUGAUGACUGUUGAUGAAUUGAGAUCCAAUCUAACACUGGGACGUCAAUGGUUAAUGGCAAUGGGUAAAUCAGCUGAACGUAAUGGUAUGCCUAUUCAGUAUUCUAAUGCUUGGCCAAGUCAUAUUUUACAAUCUUUAGAAAUACCCGCAGUUACACAGGUCAGAGUAAGUGGUAAUUAUAUGCAACAAGCAGAUCAAUGGAAGAUUGGUAUAACAUCUAUUCUAGUCAAUGCUUUAGGACUGGCACCAUCUAAAGAUACAUUCUGGACUCUGGAACAAGAAUCGGGAAAUA